GAUGAACGCUGGCGGCGUGCCUAAUACAUGCAAGUCGAGCGAACGGACGAGAAGCUUGCUUCUCUGAUGUUAGCGGCGGACGGGUGAGUAACACGUGUAUAACCUCCCUAUAAGACUGGUAUAACUUCGGGAAACCGGAGCUAAUACCGGAUAAUCUUUUGAACCGCAUGGUUCAAAAGUGAAAGACGGUCUUGCGGUCACUACUCGAUGGAUCCGCGCUGCAUUAGCUAGUUGUUAAGGUAACGGCUUACCAAGGCAACGAUGCAUAGCUGACCUGAGAGGGUGAUCGGCCACACUGGAACUGAGACACGGUCCAGACUCCUGCGGGAGGCAGCAGUAGGGAAUCUUCCGCAAUGGGCGAAAGCCUGACGGAGCAACGCCGCGUGAGUGAUGAAGGUCUUCGGAUCGUAAAACUCUGUUAUUAGGGAAGAACAUAUGUGUAAGUAACUGUGCACAUCUUGACGGUACCUAGUCAGAAAGCCACGGCUAACUACGUG
This 497-nucleotide ribosomal RNA is filed under the name uncultured bacterium. Its description in RNAcentral is "partial 16S ribosomal RNA". It matches the Rfam family "Bacterial small subunit ribosomal RNA", at positions 28 to 507 of the family's 1533-position model. The record is from RNAcentral.